UGGGGAAUUUUGGACAAUGGGGGAAACCCUGAUCCAGCCAUCCCGCGUGUGCGAUGAAGGCCUUCGGGUUGUAAAGCACUUUUGGCAGGAAAGAAACGUCAUGGGUUAAUACCCCGUGAAACUGACGCUACCUGCAGAAUAAGCACCGGCUAACUACGUGCCAGCAGCCGCGGUAAUACGUAGGGUGCAAGCGUUAAUCGGAAUUACUGGGCGUAAAGCGUGCGCAGGCGGUUCGGAAAGAAAGAUGUGAAAUCCCAGAGCUCAACUUUGGAACUGCAUUUUUAACUACCGGGCUAGAGUGUGUCAGAGGGAGGUGGAAUUCCGCGUGUAGCAGUGAAAUGCGUAGAUAUGCGGAGGAACACCGAUGGCGAAGGCAGCCUCCUGGGAUAACACUGACGCUCAUGCACGAAAGCGUGGGGAGCAAACAGG
Molecule: ribosomal RNA, 429 nt
Filed under: Acidobacteriota bacterium
Lineage: Bacteria; Pseudomonadati; Acidobacteriota
Description: Acidobacteria bacterium partial 16S ribosomal RNA
Rfam family: Bacterial small subunit ribosomal RNA
Source: RNAcentral